This 443-nucleotide long non-coding RNA is filed under the name Carica papaya (papaya). Its description in RNAcentral is "long non-coding RNA (CPAP_LNC010057)". The record is from RNAcentral. Lineage: Eukaryota; Viridiplantae; Streptophyta; Magnoliopsida; Brassicales; Caricaceae.
UUUUCUUCACUAUAGUGGUGGUAGUUGAAGAUGCAGUCAGCCAUCCGCUCCUACUCAAGAUAGGCUUCAGGAUCAUUUUCUCCCUUAAAAGUUGAUAUAUGGAACUUAAGUCAUGGAGGUCUCCAUCUGCCUCUUCGCGACGGCCUCCCUGUAUGUCGCCAACUUCAUCACCAUAAGAUCUUGUUUCUUCCCGUAUUAUUUGGCAUCAGACGCGAUUGCGGUUGUCUCCCUAUUCCAGAUGAUCCAUGCGAGCAGCCAUGUUCCCCAUUUGGAAACUUAACUGAGUGUCCAGAACCCUCUCUUUUAUGGUUACUUGUAACACCCCGCUCAUUGUGUGCUUAAUUAAUUUGAAAAUUCCUAUUUUUUUGGGCCUUUAGGCUGCAUUGAACUCAUUUAAUUUACUCCGAAUGUUAUUUAUCGUAAAUCGUGAAUCUUACCGAUUU